GACGAACGCUGGCGGCGUGCUUAACACAUGCAAGUCGAACGGAAAGGCCCUGCUUUUGUGGGGUGCUCGAGUGGCGAACGGGUGAGUAACACGUGAGUAACCUGCCCUUGACUUUGGGAUAACUUCAGGAAACUGGGGCUAAUACCGGAUAGGAGCUCCUGCUGCAUGGUGGGGGUUGGAAAGUUUCGGCGGUUGGGGAUGGACUCGCGGCUUAUCAGCUUGUUGGUGGGGUAGUGGCUUACCAAGGCUUUGACGGGUAGCCGGCCUGAGAGGGUGACCGGCCACAUUGGGACUGAGAUACGGCCCGGACUCCUACGGGAGGCAGCAGUGGGGAAUAUUGCACAAGGGGCGGAGGCCGGAUGCAGAAACGCCGCGUGGGGGAUGACGGCCUUCGGGUUGUAAACGGCUUUCGCCUGUGACGAAGCGUGAGGGACGGUAAUGGGUAAAGAAGCACCGGCUAACUACGU
RNAcentral lists this ribosomal RNA (467 nucleotides) under uncultured bacterium. RNAcentral's name for it is "partial 16S ribosomal RNA". It matches the Rfam family "Bacterial small subunit ribosomal RNA", at positions 28 to 506 of the family's 1533-position model. The record is from RNAcentral.